UGUAUCUGAAGCCUGACGAGGAUGAGAACUUCCGGGGGCAAGAGGUUCGACCCGAGCGAAGCGAGAGAACGUUGCGUCAGCAACGGCCCGCAGGGCGAGUCAUCCUCUAUCACCGGCAG
RNAcentral lists this small RNA (119 nucleotides) under Salmonella enterica subsp. enterica. RNAcentral's name for it is "RtT sRNA". It matches the Rfam family "RtT RNA". Rfam says of the family: This family represents a bacterial cis-regulatory element known as RtT RNA. The record is from RNAcentral. Lineage: Bacteria; Pseudomonadati; Pseudomonadota; Gammaproteobacteria; Enterobacterales; Enterobacteriaceae.